CUCCCCGGGAAGGAGUGGGUCUGGGUCCAGUCCGUAGGACCCCCUCGCGGAUGCUGACGCGGAAUGGAGUUGAGGUGGGGGAGGCGCUGGACCCUAGGGCCCCUGCCUGCCUCCUGGGGAGCCCGGUGACCCAGGCAGCCCUGGUGAGGCCGCAGGAGUCUGGGCCCUAGCGACGCCCCCGGGCUCCCACAGGACGAAUGUAGACGGUGAGGCCAAGGACGCCCUGCUGCCCUCGGGACUGUCCCUCCAGCCCCCAGCUUUCCGUGGUUAUUGGGCCCCCUCUGCAGAGGGGCAGGGGAGCCCACCCUGGAUCCUGAGGCGCCGAGCUUGAGGGACCCCAGAGCUCCAGCCAGGCCGCUUUCUUUGCGGAUGGUGAAGCUGAGGUCCCGAGGAGGGCAGGGGCAGGUCCCGGGCGCUCCUCAGGCAAAGGGAGCCGAUUUAGGGGCUGGGGUCACAGGAGGCGCUUCUGCGACCUCUAGGGCCCUAGAGCCCGGGAGGAUGAGAGACUGGGGGCCUUUCGUCCACCCCUGGGGCUGGGCAGACGCUCAGCCUGUGCAACCCGAAGCUGCUUCUGCCCAGUCCAAGCUGCGGCCCCUUUAAGAGGGGGUGGUGCUUCAGCCUGGCGCCAGGGAGGCUGCCAGCAUGCAGGCCCCGACGGAAGCCGAGACUGCGCUUCGUGCGAGGCCCGGGCAGCAUCGGCGGCGUGGUCAGAGCGAGUCUCGGAGAAGAUGUGGCUUCCGUUUGUUGGUGGAGGAGGUGGCAGGUCUCGGCGGGUAACCCAGAGAACACAGCCGAAGUGGAAUGUGGGAAAGUCUGCGACACUGGGGACAGAGCAACUGUGGAUGAAGAGGGCAACAUCUGGUUCCUGGGGAGGAGUCAUGACACUAUCAAUGCCUCUGGGUGGUGAAGGCAUUGAUUGUCCUGACCCCACAGUUUCUGUCCCAUGACAAGGACCAGCUGACUAAGGAGCUGCAGCAGCAUGUAAAGUCAGUGACAGCCCCAUCUGCCACCAGCACUCACUCCAGCCACUAAAGCCAGAAAGUUGAAAGACCUCUGCCCUCAUCUGGCCCAGCCCCCAUCCAGCCAAAGACCUGUCAUUUCAACCUCACGCCCACCCCGCUUUCCACUCCCACUGCUCCUGCCUUAGUUCAGACCACCACCGUCGCUCUCCUACCCAGUUCAAGCCAAGCUGACCUGGCCAGUGGCCUUCAGACCUUCCCUUCUCCAUCCUGCCAUGUCCAUCCUCCACAGGCAGAACAGGAAGCUGUCAUGUAAAAGUGCAGGUCUGCUUUGGUCCUUCUCCUAAACCCUUCAGUGGCUUCCCGGUUCCCUUUGGGUCCUGGUACAGAUUCCUUAGCAUGGCCAGGGAGGACAGCCCUCCAUGAUCCUCCCCUCCCUGAGAUGCUCCUCCUGCCCCAGCACCCUGUGUUUGAGCCCAAGCCCGCCCUGUGGUGUCGUGGGAGGCCCAGCUCCUCUGCCUGGGGUGCCUUGCCUGGCCUAGGAACUGGGAAAACUUACCUGCUUCCAAGACUCAGCUCUAGCACCUCUUCCUGCUGGGUGUUUUCCGAUGCCCCCCCUCUCGCCACCUCAUGGGGACCCCACAGUCCCCUGAAGAGCCUUCUGCCCCAGUGCCUCACCCCACUCUUUAGACCUGUUUCUGUUUCCAUGGCUGCCUCGCCUUCUUAGACCACGGGCUCCUGCAGAGCGGGACCCCAUAUCUCAGUCGGCUUUGCAUUCCCAGUGCCUGGCCGAAACUGAGGCUGGAAUGGUCUCCUAUUCCAUAAGCUCUCAAUAACUCUUGAAAAAUGACUGGAAUCCUGGACAGCGCCAAGGCAGCAACUGGGAUGGGAGAGUGAUCUGCUGCCCUCUCCUGGCAAUGUGAGGAAUUGUCCUGAGCACAGACAACUCCCUCCCUGCCUUGCACAAGUGCAGGAUGGGGGAAACUGGAAAAGGAGCUGAUGGAGGACUGGGGAGGUGGAUGCUGUCUAAGGAGACAAACUGAAUUGAGGGGUUGCUGGGACUCUGCUGGCUCACACGCUAUUCCCAUGUCAUGGGCCCAGGGGCCAAGUCAGUGCUUCCAAAGGAGGGUGCAUCCUGAGAGAGGCUCUGGCUCCCCCAACAGAACCCUAAACUCUUGAAGGACAUCUUCCUUCUCAAUAUACCCGAUUGCUGUGUUGUUGUAACUAUCACUGUAACUUUUAUUCACUUCAGUGGGCGAUCACUGAGUUUUUCCUCCAUUGUUGUACAACAUGUGUUUUGCUCUUAUGUGUAAAAUGACUGUGAAUUUAGCCACUGCCUUCUCCUGAUUUUAACUCAGCUUUCUACUGCUAGGAGGUUAUCUCUGUUCUGGGUUUCUCAGCUUUCUAUCAAAACCCAAAUACUGUCAUUCCUCGGUAUCCGUAGGGGAUUGGUUCCAGGAGCCUCCCUUGAAGAUACCAACAUUGCAGGUGCCCAAGUCGCUGAUAGAGAACAGCGCAGCAUUUGCAGACAACCUAUGUACACACUGCAUGCACUUUCAAUCAGCUCUAGAUUACUUCUGAUACCUAAUUCAAUGUAAAUGCUAUGUCAGUAGUUGUCUAGGGAAUAAUGACAAGAAGAAAAUUUUGUACAUGUUCAGUAUGUAGGGAAAAGAAAGAGAGAUCAGACUGUCACUGUGUCUAUGUAGAAAGGGAAGACAUAAGAGAUUCCAUUUUGAAAGAGACCUGUACUUUAAACAGUUGCUUUGCUGAGAUGUUGUUAAUUUGUAGCUUUGCCCCAGCCACUUUGCCCUAGCCACUUUGACCCAACCUGGAGCUCACAAAAAUAUGUGUUGUAUAAAAUCAAGGUUUAAGGGAUCUAGGGCUGUGCAGGAUGUGCCUUGUUAACAAAAUGUUUACAAGCAGUAUACUUGGUAAAGGUCAUCGCCAUUCUCUAGUCUCAAUAAAACAGGAGCACAAUGCACUGCGGAAAGCCGCAGGGACCUCUGCCCUUCAAAGCGGGGUAUUGUCCAAGGUUUCUCCCCAUGUGAUGGUCUGAAAUAUGGCCUCGUGGGGUGAGAAAGACCUGACCGUCCCCCAGCCCGACACCCGUAAAGGGUCUGUGCUGAGGUGGAUUAGUAAAAGAGGAAGGCCUCUUGCAGUUGAGAUAGAGGAAGGCCACUGUCUCCUGCCUGCCCCUGGGAACUGAAUGUCUCGGUAUAAAACCCGAUUGUACAUUUGUUCAAUUCUGAGAUAGGAGAAAAACCACCCUAUGGUGGGAGGCGAGACAUGUUUGCAGCAAUGCUGCCUUGUUAUUCUUUACUCCGCUGAGAUGUUUGGGUGGAGAGCAACAUAAAUCUGGCCUACAUGCACAUCCGGUCAUAGUACCUUCCCUUGAACUUAAUCAUGACACAGAUUCUUUUGCUCACAUGUUUUUUGCUGACCUUCUCCUUAUUAUCACCCUGCUCUCCUACUACGUUCCUUUUUGCUGAAAUAAUGAAAAUAAUAAUCAAUAAAAACUGAGGGAACUCAAAA
This is a long non-coding RNA of Pan troglodytes (chimpanzee), 3491 nucleotides long. RefSeq lists it as uncharacterized. The transcript is spliced from 4 exons. NCBI's taxonomy places the organism in Eukaryota, Metazoa, Chordata, Mammalia, Primates, Hominidae. The record is from RefSeq and is a predicted model, not a curated record.